CCGUAGGCCGCUCUCUUUGUUCUUCUUUCCUGGUCUUCCCUCUUCUUUCUUCUUUUCUCCCCUUCUGGUGUGAAAUCUCCCGGCUCAACCGGGGAAUUGCAGGGGAAACCGCCGCUCUUGAGGCAGGUAGAGGUGACCGGAACGUGUGGUGGAGCGGUGAAAUGCGUAGAUAUCACACGGAACGCCGGUGGUGAAAACGGGUCACUGGGCCUGUCCUGACGCUGAGACGCGAGAGCGUGGGGAGCAAACAG
Molecule: ribosomal RNA, 251 nt
Filed under: uncultured prokaryote
Description: partial 16S ribosomal RNA
Rfam family: Bacterial small subunit ribosomal RNA (bases 48-251)
Source: RNAcentral